UUCGGACGCCGUGCGUACGGCUCAGUAACACGUAGGUAACCUACCCUCAGGACUGAGAUAACCCCGGGAAACUGGGGCUAAUAUUAGAUAGAUAAAAGAUACUGGAAUGUUCUUUUAUCCAAAGCUUUUGCGCCUGAGGAUGGGCCUGCGUCCGAUUAGGUUGUUGGUGGGGUAAUGGCCCACCAAGCCUACGAUCGGUACGGGCAGUGAGAGCUGAAGCCCGGAGUUGGGGACUGAGACAAGGCCCCAGGCCCUACGGGGCGCAGCAGGCGCGAAACCUCUGCAAUGCGGGAAACCGUGACAGGGGGAUCCCAAGUGCUCAUGCAUUGCAUGGGCUGUUCUUUGGUCUCAGUAACCAGAGGAGUAAGGGCUGGGCAAGACCGGUGCCAGCCGCCGCGGUAAUACCGGCAGCUCAAGUGGUAGCCGCGAUUAU
RNAcentral lists this ribosomal RNA (433 nucleotides) under uncultured archaeon. RNAcentral describes it as "bacterial SSU rRNA". It matches the Rfam family "Archaeal small subunit ribosomal RNA", at positions 69 to 504 of the family's 1478-position model. The record is from RNAcentral.